GGUGGUGAGGUCAUGGCAAAGGUAUCCUAUACUACUAGGAGAAUCAUAGCAUAGUAUAGAUACAAUAAUAAUCCUAAUAAUGCAACUAAUAAAAUGUAGUGCAUAAUAAAGUAAUAGGUGAAUGAUCAAAGUGAACUUGCCUUGAUAAUAGUUGGUAUUCAAACACUCUUCGCAAUCACAUAGUUCGCUCUCCGAGAAAACUAAACAAUACAAACAAUGCAUACAUAAACACACCGUACAAACAAAAGCAUAUGUAUGCCAUGAUGCAAUGCAAAACAUGUGACAUGAGUGGGUUGGUUUUAUUCGGGUGAUCUACUGGUCCAAAGCAUUAACAAGUAAGCACAAGUAAUUAGGGUUUUAAACAAAUAGUAAAGGAUAGGGUUUAAACCCUAAAAUGAGGUUUUAUUUGCAUCAGUCAGAUAAAUUAAUUCAAAAAAAAAUUAUUUCUCUGUCCCAAUGGACAGAGGACAAUAAAAAAAAAUUUUGGGCAC
RNAcentral lists this long non-coding RNA (491 nucleotides) under Brachypodium distachyon (stiff brome). RNAcentral's name for it is "long non-coding RNA (BDIS_LNC000712)". The record is from RNAcentral. Lineage: Eukaryota; Viridiplantae; Streptophyta; Magnoliopsida; Poales; Poaceae.